This 192-nucleotide unclassified non-coding RNA is filed under the name uncultured Chaetothyriales. Its description in RNAcentral is "sequence contains ITS1". The record is from RNAcentral. Lineage: Eukaryota; Fungi; Ascomycota; Eurotiomycetes; Chaetothyriales.
AAGAGUUAGGGUCUUUUAGGCUCGAUCUCCCAACCCUAUGUUUAUUUAAACCACUGUUGCUUCGGCGGGCCCGUCUUCAUUGACCGCCGGGGGACCGUCAAAACGUCCUCUGGUCCGUGCCCGUCGGUGGCCAAACAUUACAAAUUCUUAAUUAAACGUGUCAUUAUCUGAAUACCAUAUUAAAUAAAGUAA